AUCCGGCUGAAGAGUCCCAAAUAGAACGAAACAUGCUUCCUAGAU
This 45-nucleotide non-coding RNA is filed under the name Schistosoma curassoni. The record is from RNAcentral. Lineage: Eukaryota; Metazoa; Platyhelminthes; Trematoda; Strigeidida; Schistosomatidae.